Molecule: ribosomal RNA, 566 nt
Filed under: uncultured Inocybe
Lineage: Eukaryota; Fungi; Basidiomycota; Agaricomycetes; Agaricales; Cortinariaceae
Description: eukaryotic LSU rRNA
Rfam family: 5.8S ribosomal RNA (bases 175-328)
Source: RNAcentral
UCCGUAGGUGAACCUGCGGAAGGAUCAUUAUUGAAUCAAGUUGUUGCUGGCUCUCCCUUGGAGUGCAUGUGCACGCUUCUUUAUUUCUCCAACUGUGCACGAAUUGUAGACCCUGGUCUAUGUUUUUCACAAUCUCUGAAUGUAUUAGAAUGGUUGUAAUAAAUAAUAUUAUACAACUUUCAGCAACGGAUCUCUUGGCUCUCGCAUCGAUGAAGAACGCAGCGAAAUGCGAUAAGUAAUGUGAAUUGCAGAAUUCAGUGAAUCAUCGAAUCUUUGAACGCAUCUUGCGCUCCUUGGUAUUCUGAGGAGCAUGCCUGUUUGAGUGUCAUUUGAAACUUCUCAACUGCCUUUAUAUGCAGCUUGGAAAUGGGGGAUUGGCUUUGCAGGCUUUUUUUUUGUCUGCUCCCCUGAAAUGUAUUAGUGGUGUCUGGGCGGACUAGCCACAGGUGUGAUAACUAUCAAUACCUUGGUUGUAUCUGCUGCUGCUGCUUGACCCUAAAUGACCAACUUGACCUCAAAUCAGGUAGGAUUACCCGCUGAACUUAAGCAUAUCAAUAAGCGGAGGA